Molecule: ribosomal RNA, 333 nt
Filed under: uncultured bacterium
Lineage: Bacteria
Description: bacterial SSU rRNA
Rfam family: Bacterial small subunit ribosomal RNA
Source: RNAcentral
CGCGUAGGCGGUGCGGUAAGUCACCUGUGAAACCUCCGGGCUCAACUCGGAGCCUGCAGGCGAAACUGCCGUGCUGGAGUGUGGGAGGGGUGCGUGGAAUUCCCGGUGUAGCAGUGAAAUGCGUAGAGAUCGGGAGGAACACCUGUGGCGAAAGCGGCGCACUGGACCACAACUGACGCUGAGGCGCGAAAGCUAGGGGAGCAAACAGGAUUAGAUACCCUGGUAGUCCCUAGCCCUAAACGAUGGAUGCUUGGUGUAGCCGGUACCCAAUCCGGCUGUGCCGCAGCUAACGCGAUAAGCAUCCCGCCUGGGGAGUACGGUCGCAAGGCUGAA